AGGGUGCAGGGCGAAUGCCUUGGCACUAGGAGCCGAUGAAGGACGUGAUAAGCUGCGAUAAGCUUCGGGGAGUUGCACGUAAACUUUGAUCCGAAGAUUUCCGAAUGAGGAAACUCACUUAGAGUAAUGUCUAAGUAUCGUAUGAUGAAUACAUAGUCAUGCGAGGGGAACCCGGAGAACUGAAACAUCUAAGUACCCGGAGGAAGAGAAAGAAAUUCGAUUCCGUAAGUAGCGGCGAGCGAACGCGGAACAGGCCAAACCAGUGAAGUUUUCUUCGCUGGGGUUGCGGACAUAUCAUAACGAAGAGGUAUCGUAGAAGAAGAGAGUUGGAAAGCUCCGCCACAGAUGGUAACAGCCCAGUAUUUUAAACGAGAAGACUUUAGAUAUGAUCCAGAGUACCACGGGACACGUGAAACCCUGUGGGAAGCAGGAGGGACCAUCCUCCAAGCCUAAAUACUACCUAGUGACCGAUAGCGUAUAGUACCGUGAGGGAAAGGUGAAAAGAACCCCGGGAGGGGAGUGAAAGAGAACCUGAAACCCUGCACUUACAAGCUGUAGGAGCACAUUAUUUGUGUGACUGCGUACUUUUUGUAGAACGGGCCAACGAGUUACGUUGUGUAGCAAGGUUAAGCACUUAAGGUGUGGAGCCGUAGCGAAAGCGAGUCUUAAAUGGGCGUCCAGUUACCCGACGUAGACCCGAAACCAGGCGACCUAUCCAUGAGCAGGUUGAAGCGAAAGUAAAAUUUCGUGGAGGACCGAACCCACGUACGUUGAAAAGUGCGGGGAUGACUUGUGGAUAGCGGUGAAAUUCCAAUCGAGCCUGGAGAUAGCUGGUUCUCCCCGAAAUAGCUUUAGGGCUAGCCUCAAGCUUAGAGAAACGGAGGUAGAGCACUGAAUGUCCUAGGGGGUAUUGCACUUACCGAAGACUAUCAAACUCCGAAUGCCGUAUUCUUUUGCUUGGGAGUCAGACUAUGGGUGAUAAGAUUCAUAGUCAAGAGGGCAACAGCCCAGAUCGUCAGCUAAGGUCCCUAAAUGUAAGUUAAGUGGUAAAGGAUGUGGAAUUGCACAGACAACCAGGAUGUUGGCUUAGAAGCAGCCACUCAUUUAAAGAGUGCGUAAUAGCUCACUGGUCGAGUGAUUCUGCGCCGAAAAUUUCCGGGGCUAAAACUUACUACCGAAGCUACGGCAUCAUUAUGAUGGGUAGGGGAGCUUUCUAUGCGGCUUGAAGCAUGACCGUAAGGACAUGUGGACUGCAUAGAAGUGAGAAUGUUGGCAUGAGUAGCGAGAUGUGGGUGAGAAUCCCACAGGCCGUAAACCCAAGGUUUCCAGGGGAAGGUUCGUCCGCCCUGGGUUAGUCAGGACCUAAGCCGAGGCCGAAAGGCGUAGGUGAUGGACAACAGGUUGAUAUUCCUGUACCACCAAUAACCGUUUGAGAAAUGGGAUGACACAGUAGGAUAAGCUAACCGCACUGUUGGUUAUGUGCGGGCAAGUAUUGAGGCAGUUCCGAUAGGCAAAUCCGUCGGAAUAAUGCUGGGGUACGAUGCGGAGCGAAAUUUAGUAGCGAAGUAGCUGAUUUCACACUGUCGAGAAAAGUCUCUAUCGAGGUUAAAGGUGCCUGUACCGCAAACCGACACAGGUGGGUGAGGAGAGUAUCCUAAGGCCAGCGAGAGAACUGUUGUUAAGGAACUCGGCAAAAUGACCCCGUAACUUAGGGAGAAGGGGUGCCUUCGAAAGAAGGCCGCAGAGAAUAGGCCCAAGCGACUGUUUACCAAAAACAUAGGUUUCUGCUAAGUCGCAAGACGAUGUAUAGGAGCUGACGCCUGCCCGGUGCUGGAAGGUUAAGGGGAUCUGUUAGAGCAAUCGAAGCAGUGAACUUAAGCCCCAGUAAACGGCGGCCGUAACUAUAACGGUCCUAAGGUAGCGAAAUUCCUUGUCGGGUAAGUUCCGACCCGCACGAAAGGCGUAACGAUUUGGGCACUGUCUCAACAACAGACUCGGUGAAAUUGUAAUACCGGUGAAGAUGCCGGUUACCUGCGACAGGACGGAAAGACCCCAUGGAGCUUUACUGUAGCUUGACAUUGAGUCUCGGUGCUACAUGUACAGGAUAGGUGGGAGACUAUGAAGCAUGGACGUCAGUCUGUGUGGAGUCAUCCUUGGGAUACCACCCUUGUAGUACUGGGAUUCUAACCAGAGGCCAUGAAUCUGGUCUUGGGACACUGUCAGGUGGACAGUUUGACUGGGGCGGUCGCCUCCCAAAAAGUAACGGAGGCGCUCAAAGGUUCUCUCAGUACGGUCGG
Molecule: ribosomal RNA, 2297 nt
Filed under: human gut metagenome
Description: bacterial LSU rRNA
Rfam family: Bacterial large subunit ribosomal RNA
Source: RNAcentral